Molecule: ribosomal RNA, 252 nt
Filed under: uncultured bacterium
Lineage: Bacteria
Description: partial 16S ribosomal RNA
Rfam family: Bacterial small subunit ribosomal RNA
Source: RNAcentral
UACGGAGGAUGCGAGCGUUAUCCGGAUUUAUUGGGUUUAAAGGGUGCGUAGGCGGAUUUUUAAGUCAGCGGUAAAAUGUCCGGGCUCAACCCGGGCCGGCCGUUGAAACUGGGGAUCUUGAGUGGGCGAGAAGUAUGCGGAAUGCGUGGUGUAGCGGUGAAAUGCAUAGAUAUCACGCAGAACUCCGAUUGCGAAGGCAGCAUACCGGCGCCCGACUGACGCUGAGGUUCGAAAGCGUGGGUAGCAAACAGG